This 631-nucleotide ribosomal RNA is filed under the name Trichoderma asperellum. RNAcentral's name for it is "eukaryotic LSU rRNA". The stretch from base 241 to 394 matches the Rfam family "5.8S ribosomal RNA". Lineage: Eukaryota; Fungi; Ascomycota; Sordariomycetes; Hypocreales; Hypocreaceae. The record is from RNAcentral.
GUAAGUAAAAAAGUCGUAACAAGGUCUCCGUUGGUGAACCAGCGGAGGGAUCAUUACCGAGUUUACAACUCCCAAACCCAAUGUGAACGUUACCAAACUGUUGCCUCGGCGGGGUCACGCCCCGGGUGCGUCGCAGCCCCGGAACCAGGCGCCCGCCGGAGGAACCAACCAAACUCUUUCUGUAGUCCCCUCGCGGACGUAUUUCUUUACAGCUCUGAGCAAAAAUUCAAAAUGAAUCAAAACUUUCAACAACGGAUCUCUUGGUUCUGGCAUCGAUGAAGAACGCAGCGAAAUGCGAUAAGUAAUGUGAAUUGCAGAAUUCAGUGAAUCAUCGAAUCUUUGAACGCACAUUGCGCCCGCCAGUAUUCUGGCGGGCAUGCCUGUCCGAGCGUCAUUUCAACCCUCGAACCCCUCCGGGGGAUCGGCGUUGGGGAUCGGGACCCCUCACACGGGUGCCGGCCCCUAAAUACAGUGGCGGUCUCGCCGCAGCCUCUCCUGCGCAGUAGUUUGCACAACUCGCACCGGGAGCGCGGCGCGUCCACGUCCGUAAAACACCCAACUUUCUGAAAUGUUGACCUCGGAUCAGGUAGGAAUACCCGCUGAACUUAAGCAUAUCAAUAAGCCGGAGGAA